Molecule: ribosomal RNA, 1761 nt
Filed under: Triticum aestivum (bread wheat)
Lineage: Eukaryota; Viridiplantae; Streptophyta; Magnoliopsida; Poales; Poaceae
Description: partial small subunit ribosomal RNA
Source: RNAcentral
AUGGCGGCGCCGCCGGCCCACCUCCGCCGCCUCCUGCUGCCGCACCUCCGCCGGAACCGCCUCUUCUCCGCCCUCACCGACACCCCUUCCUCGCCCCCGCCGCCCGCCCCGACCUCAGACGCCAUCCUCUACUCGCUCCGCGGCCUCUCCAAGGACCCGCCGCAGGCGCUCUCCCUCUUCCGGCGCGCGGCGGCCGCGGGCCACCCGCUCGGCCCCGCGGCCUACAACCUCAUGCUGCGCACGCUCGCCUCCACCCCGGACGCCGCGCGGGCCCACUUCUGGCCCUUCCUCCGCGACAUGGACGCCGCCGGCCACUCCGUCGAUCAGGGCACCUACCUCGCCGCCCUCGCCUCCUUCAAGCGCGCCAGCCUCGCCACCGACUACGCCACCCUCUCCGCCCGCCUCGCCAAGUCCCGGGCCGACCACGCCGCCUCCGGCGGCACUCCCGUCACCGCCCUCGCCGACGCCGUCCGCGGGCUCGACCCCGACCAGCCGGGGGCGGACGAGGAGCUCGAGACGAAGCUGGAGGGCGUCGCCGAGCAGCUGCUGCCGCUCACGGAGGCCGCCGUGGCCGGGGUGCUGCGGGAGGCGAGGGACGUCCCCGCCAAGGCGCUCGCUUUCUUCCGGUGGGCCGGCCGGCAGGACGGGUACGAGCACGGGUCCAUCGCCUACAACGCGAUGGCGAGGGUGCUUGGCCGGGAGGAGUCGCAGCGGGAGUUCUGGGAUCUGGUGCAGGAGAUGAAGGCCGGCGAGCUGCACAUCGACAUCGAUACCUACAUGAAGCUGUCCCGGCAGUUCCAGAAGCGCCACAUGAUGACCGAGGCCGUGGAGCUCUACGAGCUCAUGAUGGACGGCCCCUACAAGCCCGCGCAGCAGGACGGGCCGCUGCUCCUCCGGCGCAUCGCCAUGGGGCCAGAGCCUGACCUCGAGCUGGUGUAUCGAGUGGUGAGGAAGUUCGAGGCCGUCUACGAGUUCAAGACAAAGAAUGUGUUUGACGGGAUCCACAGGGCGCUCACAAGCAAUGGCAGGUUCGACGAGGCCGCGGAGAUCGUGGAAAGGAUGAGAGGCGCUGGCCACCAGCCGGACAACAUCACUUAUAGCCAGCUGGUCUUUGGGCUGUGCAAGGCCGCCAAGUGCGAUGAAGCUCGCAAGGUGCUCGAUGAAAUGGAGGCUGAGGGUUGCACGCCGGACUUGAAGACCUGGACCAUGUUGAUCCAAGGGCACUGUGCCGCUGGGGAGGUGGACAAGGCUCUGCAGUACUUGACAGAGAUGAUCGAGAAGGACUUGGAGGCAGACGCCGAUUUGCUGGAUGUGAUGGUGAAAGGUCUGUGCAAACAAGAAAAGAUUGAUGCGGCUUACACUUUGUUUGUUGAGAUGGUGGACAAUGCCAAGUUGAACCCUUGGCAAGGCACUUACAAGCAUAUCAUUGCUGAGUUGCUGAGGGUGAAGAAACUCGAGGAGGCACUGGGCCUUCUUAAAUCAAUGAAAGCCCGCAAGUUUCCACCUUUUGCAGACCCCUUCCCUUCAAACAUCGCUGAAUACGGGACGCUUGAAGAUGCCAGGGACUUUCUCAAGGCCUUGAAAGGAUCGUCUAAUAACUAUCCGCAGCCCCCUAUCUAUGUGCAGAUGUUCAAGGCAUUCUUCGCGGAGGGGAGGUACUCAGAAGCUCAGGAUUUACUCUACAAAUGCCCCAUCCAUAUCCGCAGGCAUCAUGAUGUCACCGAGCUGUUUGAACCAAAAAAAGUUCAGGCUACUGCUUGA